Molecule: ribosomal RNA, 404 nt
Filed under: Actinomycetes bacterium
Lineage: Bacteria; Bacillati; Actinomycetota; Actinomycetes
Description: Actinobacteria bacterium partial 16S ribosomal RNA
Rfam family: Bacterial small subunit ribosomal RNA
Source: RNAcentral
UGGGGAAUAUUGGACAAUGGGCGCAAGCCUGAUCCAGCCAUGCCGCGUGAGUGAUGAAGGCCCUAGGGUUGUAAAGCUCUUUCACCGGUGAAGAUAAUGACGGUAACCGGAGAAGAAGCCCCGGCUAACUUCGUGCCAGCAGCCGCGGGAAUACGAAGGGGGCUAGCGUUGUUCGGAUUUACUGGGCGUAAAGCGCACGUAGGCGGACUUUUAAGUCAGGGGUGAAAUCCCGGGGCUCAACCCCGGAACUGCCUUUGAUACUGGAAGUCUUGAGUAUGGUAGGGGUGAGUGGAAUUCCGAGUGUAGGGGUGAAAUUCGUAGAUAUUCGGAGGAACACCAGUGGCGAAGGCGGCUCACUGGACCAUUACUGACGCUGAGGUGCGAAAGCGUGGGGAGCAAACAGG